This 373-nucleotide transfer-messenger RNA is filed under the name Hyphomicrobiales bacterium. It matches the Rfam family "Alphaproteobacteria transfer-messenger RNA". From Rfam's summary of the family: Bacterial tmRNA, also known as 10Sa RNA or SsrA, is named for its dual tRNA and mRNA-like properties. Its role is to liberate the mRNA from a stalled ribosome. To accomplish this part of the tmRNA is used as a reading frame that ends in a translation stop signal. The record is from RNAcentral. Lineage: Bacteria; Pseudomonadati; Pseudomonadota; Alphaproteobacteria; Hyphomicrobiales.
AACCUUUUUUUUGCCGUCAUGAGGCCAUAUAUAUUGUCUGUCAGCUUCGGCUGACUAUGGCGAUAAAUGGCCGUCGUAAUAAACCAUUCGGACCCGGGGGCGGUACCCGGCGCCUCCACCACAUGCCGCUGCAAGGCAAAUUUUUUUCCGGCGGCAUCUGAUGGGGGCGAAAUAGGAUCGACGAGGGUGUAAAGGGCAGUGCUUUCGCUCGGCAUGGUUCCGCCGUUAUCGGGCCACUAUAGUAGUUGCAAAUGACAACUAUGCGGAGGCUCGUCUCGCUGCGUAAGCGGUGCGACAGUCUCGAAAUUAAGUCCUGAUCUUUCGCAAGCUCAGGCGCGGUUCGGAGGGCACCGGGCAACAGAAGCCCUCCACU